AUGUUGAAGGGAUAUUACUGCCCUCUGUUGAUGUGUUUGUGCAUUACAAGCAAUAAAAGGUGUUCGUUAAAAACAUCAGGUUAUGGGCCCAGAGGUCGCCAAGGGAAGCUGCUAACACGUUUUUUGGGAGUCAUAAACAGGAUUGUGGGAUUCACAAUGGAAGAUAGACUGUUUAUUGACAAGCUGAGCGGACCGGAGAAUUGGGCAACGUGGAAAUUUCAACUGGAGCACCUGUUGAAGGCAAAAGGACUGUGGGGUAUGGUACAGGAGACGGAGCAGCUAGCUGCGGAUGCUAAUGCCCAAGUACGAGCUGAAUUUGAACGGAAGAAGGAAAAGGCUUUUUCAGUGCUGGUACUGAAUGUAAGUACACCCCAAUUGUACUUGAUAACAAACUGUAAGACCCCCAAAGAAGCAUGGGAGAUGCUAAAAGCACAGUUUGAAAGAGAUACUGUUGCUAACAAGCUAUUUCUGAAGAAGAAGUACUUCCGGUGUGAAAUGAAGGAAGGAGAACAUCUCAAUGAUCAUUUAAAAAGGAUGAAGGAACUUACUGAUCAGCUAGGGGCAAUAGGUUCUGUAAUUGAAGGGGAAGAUCAAAUUGUCACCCUUCUAGGUAGUUUGCCACCCAGCUAUGCAACUGUUGUUACUGCUUUGGAGACAAAGAUGGACAGUCUGACACUACAGUUUGUUCAACAAGCCUUGAUAAAUGAGGAACAAAAGCGAGUGCUUACUGACAACACCACUGUGUCCAGUAGUGUAUCAGCUAUGUCAUCUCAGAUGCAUAGAAAUGAGCAGAGUGGAUCAAAAACAGUGGGAGCAAACAGCUCCGACUCAUGGAGAUGUUACAAAUGUGGGAAGGAAGGACAUAUCAAGCGUGAUUGUCCAAGCAUUAAAAAGAAAUACAAAACCCACAAGGCUAAAAGCGUGGUGUAUAAGGACAAAGAGGACUCAUAUGAGGGAGCUUUUGUUGUAAAUGAGUCAUGUAAAAGUGAUGCACAACAAGAAGAAUGGUUAAUUGAUUCAGGAGCAUCAAAACACAUGACAUGGAAUAAAGAAUCUCUACAGAACUACCAAGAGUUUUCAGAACCACAAACAGUGAAACUCGGUGAUGGCAGAGUAGUCGAGGCUUUAGGUCUGGGCAACAUAACAAUGAAAAUGUCAUUCAGAGUUAGUGAUGGAAAAGAUGUCACAAUGUAUGAUGUGCUGUAUGUUCCCAAAUUAUCAAUGAACCUUUUCUCAGUGGGAGCUGCUGCCAAAAAGGGAAACACAGUGAAGUUCAAAAGGACUCAUUGCUACAUAAGAGGAACGAAUGGAGCUCUCCAUGGAAUGGGAACACAAAGAUCUGACGGAUUGUAUCAGCUGCAGUGGCGUCGUUAG
RNAcentral lists this long non-coding RNA (1374 nucleotides) under Oreochromis niloticus (Nile tilapia). RNAcentral's name for it is "lncRNA (ENSONIG00000039556.1)". Lineage: Eukaryota; Metazoa; Chordata; Actinopteri; Cichliformes; Cichlidae. The record is from RNAcentral.